Molecule: ribosomal RNA, 254 nt
Filed under: uncultured bacterium
Lineage: Bacteria
Description: partial 16S ribosomal RNA
Rfam family: Bacterial small subunit ribosomal RNA
Source: RNAcentral
UACGUAGGGCGCGAGCGUUGUCCGGAUUUAUUGGGCGUAAAGAGCUCGUAGGCGGCUUGUCGCGUCAACUGUGAAAACCCGUGGCUCAACCAUGUGGUCUGCAGUCGAUACGGGCAGGCUAGAAUUCGGUAGGGGAGACUGGAAUUCCUGGUGUAGCGGUGAAAUGCGCAGAUAUCAGGAGGAACACCGGUGGCGAAGGCGGGUCUCUGGGCCGAUAUUGACGCUGAGGAGCGAAAGCGUGGGGAGCGAACAGG